GAGGGAAUAGCUCAGUGGUAGAGUGUGUGCUUGGUAUGCAUGAGGUUCUGGGUUCAAUCCCCAGUACCUCCA
Transfer RNA from Camelus ferus (Wild Bactrian camel), 72 nucleotides. It matches the Rfam family "tRNA". From Rfam's summary of the family: Transfer RNA (tRNA) molecules are approximately 80 nucleotides in length. Their secondary structure includes four short double-helical elements and three loops (D, anti-codon, and T loops). NCBI's taxonomy places the organism in Eukaryota, Metazoa, Chordata, Mammalia, Artiodactyla, Camelidae. The record is from Rfam.